UACAGAGGGUGCAAGCGUUAAUCGGAAUUAUUGGGCGUAAAGGGCUUGUAGGCGGUUCUUUAAGUUAGAUGUGAAAACCCUGGGCUCAACCUGGGACGUGCAUUUAAUACUGAAGAGCUAGAGUAUAGGAGAGGAGUGGGGAAUUCCUGGUGUAGCAGUGAAAUGCGUAGAGAUCAGGAGGAACAUCUGUGGCGAAGGCGCCACUCUGGCCUAAUACUGACGCUGAGGAGCGAAGGCGUGGGGAGCAAACAGG
RNAcentral lists this ribosomal RNA (253 nucleotides) under uncultured bacterium. Its description in RNAcentral is "partial 16S ribosomal RNA". It matches the Rfam family "Bacterial small subunit ribosomal RNA", at positions 524 to 776 of the family's 1533-position model. The record is from RNAcentral.